CCCCACAGCAAAUUCCAUGGAGACAUCUGGAUUUGUCCAGGACAAACUAACUGAAUGGGGAUUCAGUGAGUUCAUGCAGAGAUUUAAAGAUGAAGGCAUUGACAAGGAGACGUUUCUAAACCUUGGAGAUUCAAUCCGAAUUAAUUUACUGUUUCCUAAAAUUGGACCAAGAGUAAGGUUUAGAAAGAGACUGAAAGAUUACUUACAGAUGGAGACAUGUCAUUUUGUCCAGGAAAAAUGAACUGAAUGGCAUCUCAGUGAGCUGAUUCACAGAUUUGAAGAGGAGGGUAUUGACAAAGAAGCUUUCCUAAGUCUCGAGUCAGGCAGAAUCAAUACUUUGAUUCCAAAAAUUGGACCAAGAGUAAAGUUGAAAAGGAGGCUCAGAGAAUACUUACAGGACUUGAAUAGAACAAAUGAUGAUUCUGCUGACAUGAUGGAAACAAGCGCAGAGCAAAAGGACAGUUCAGAAAUGGAGCCAAACAUUUUUCCUCAACAUUUGGAAUCUGCUUCAGCGUCUGACACAACAGAUGG
Molecule: non-coding RNA, 531 nt
Organism: Maylandia zebra (zebra mbuna)
Lineage: Eukaryota; Metazoa; Chordata; Actinopteri; Cichliformes; Cichlidae
Source: RefSeq, a predicted model, not a curated record